This 243-nucleotide long non-coding RNA is filed under the name Fukomys damarensis (Damara mole-rat). RNAcentral describes it as "lncRNA (ENSFDAG00000024099.1)". Lineage: Eukaryota; Metazoa; Chordata; Mammalia; Rodentia; Bathyergidae. The record is from RNAcentral.
CCAUCUAAUGAUUCAUUCUAACUCUUCUGAACAGAGGAUAAAAAUAUGAGAAUGGACAUGAGAAGCCUAAAUCUACAGUGAAGAUGGCCUAAAGGUGUGGUGCGAGGAGAAAAGGUAGCAAAAUCAUCUGGGGUUGUGCUUGGGGAGCUGGUUGGGGCCUUGCCUCGAUCAGGACGUCAGAAUCUGUUGCUGCUGUUCAAAAUGACACAAGCAUGAUCAACUAUGAUAAAUAAUUGUGAAACG